This 571-nucleotide ribosomal RNA is filed under the name Pteroptyx tener. RNAcentral's name for it is "partial large subunit ribosomal RNA". It matches the Rfam family "Bacterial large subunit ribosomal RNA", at positions 1816 to 2663 of the family's 2925-position model. The record is from RNAcentral. Lineage: Eukaryota; Metazoa; Arthropoda; Insecta; Coleoptera; Lampyridae.
CAUGUCUUUUUGAUUAUAAUUUAAGGUUUAAUCUGCUCAAUGAUUAUUUAAAUUGCCGCAGUAUUUUGACUGUGCAAAGGUAGCAUAAUAAUUAGUUUCUUUAUUGGGAACUGGAAUGAAUGAUUGGACGAGAAAAUUUCUGUCUCUUUAUUAUUUUAAUUGAAUUUUACUUUUAAGUUAAAAGGCUUAAAUUUUAUUAGAGGACGAGAAGACCCUAUAGAGUUUAAUUUUUAUUUAAAUAAUUAUUUUUAGUAUUUAUAUAUAUUAUUUAAAUAAAAAUUUAGUUGGGGUGACUAAAAGAUAAGAAUAACUCUUUUAAUUUUUAUCAAUUAUUUUUGAUUAUAAAAUCUUUAUUUUUAAUUUUAAAAUAAAUUACCUUAGGGAUAACAGCGUAAUUCUUUUUUAAAGUUCUUAUUAAAAGAAGAGUUUGCGACCUCGAUGUUGGAUUAAAAUUAAUUUUAGGUGUAGAAGCUUGAAAAUUAAGUCUGUUCGACUUUUAAAAUUUUACAUGAUCUGAGUUUAAACCGGUGUGAGCCAGGUUGGUUUCUAUCCUUAAUUAUAUAUUAUACUU